GAUGAAGAACGCAGCAAAAUGCGAUAAGUAAUGUGAAUUGCAGAAUUCAGUGAAUCAUCGAAUCUUUGAACGCACAUUGCGCCCGCUGGUAUUCCGGCGGGCAUGCCUGUUCGAGCGUCAUUUCAACCCUCAAGCCCCCGGGUUUGGUGUUGGGGAUCGGCUCUGCCCUUCUGGGCGGUGCCGCCCCCGAAAUACAUUGGCGGUCUCGCUGCAGCCUCCAUUGCGUAGUAGCUAACACCUCGCAACUGGAACGCGGCGCGGCCAUGCCGUAAAACCCCAACUUCUGAAUGUUGACCUCGGAUCAGGUAGGAAUACCCGCUGAACUUAAGCAUACAAUAAGCGGAGGA
Molecule: unclassified non-coding RNA, 347 nt
Filed under: soil metagenome
Description: partial contains 5.8S ribosomal RNA, internal transcribed spacer 2, and large subunit ribosomal RNA
Rfam family: 5.8S ribosomal RNA (bases 1-120)
Source: RNAcentral